UGGGGAAUAUUGCACAAUGGGCGCAAGCCUGAUGCAGCCAUGCCGCGUGUGUGAAGAAGGCCUUCGGGUUGUAAAGCACUUUCAGCGGGGAGGAAGGCGUUAAGGUUAAUAACCUUGGCGUUUGACGUUACCCGCAGAAGAAGCACCGGCUAACUCCGUGCCAGCAGCCGCGGUAAUACGGAGGGUGCAAGCGUUAAUCGGAAUUACUGGGCGUAAAGCGCACGCAGGCGGUCUGUCAAGUCGGAUGUGAAAUCCCCGGGCUCAACCUGGGAACUGCAUUCGAAACUGGCAGGCUAGAGUCUUGUAGAGGGGGGUAGAAUUCCAGGUGUAGCGGUGAAAAGCGUAGAGAUCUGGAGGAAUACCGGUGGCGAAGGCGGCCCCCUGGACAAAGACUGACGCUCAGGUGCGAAAGCGUGGGGAGCAAACAGG
This 429-nucleotide ribosomal RNA is filed under the name Chloroflexota bacterium. RNAcentral describes it as "Chloroflexi bacterium partial 16S ribosomal RNA". It matches the Rfam family "Bacterial small subunit ribosomal RNA", at positions 355 to 776 of the family's 1533-position model. Lineage: Bacteria; Bacillati; Chloroflexota. The record is from RNAcentral.